Molecule: ribosomal RNA, 254 nt
Filed under: uncultured bacterium
Lineage: Bacteria
Description: partial 16S ribosomal RNA
Rfam family: Bacterial small subunit ribosomal RNA
Source: RNAcentral
UACGGGGGGAGCAAGCGUUGUUCUGAUUUACUGGGCGUAAAGGGCGCGUAGGCGGCCACCGCAAGUCGACUGUGAAAUCUCCGGGCUUAACCCGGAAAGGUCAGCCGAUACUGCGGGGCUAGAGUGCAGAAGGGGCAACUGGAAUUCUCGGUGUAGCGGUGAAAUGCGUAGAUAUCGAGAGGAACACCUGCGGCGAAGGCGGGUUGCUGGGCUGACACUGACGCUGAUGCGCGAAAGCUAGGGGAGCGAACGGG